UACGAAAAUACUAAGCCAUGGCAUGCAGUGCUACGGUCUUUUCCCACCAUUUUAGCUCUAUGGUAGGCAAGGCUUCAUUACUAAAACAAAGAAUGAAGUAUAUAACAUAGUGAGUGAGAUCAAUAAUUGAGGGCCAUCGAGUUACUUCAUCAAAAACAUAAUACCAGGAUCCAUCCACCUUGAUCAUGAAGGAAGUGAAAACUGAAUAGGGCAACGACUGAAGACAUUUCAAGAUGCUCCCAACAAUCAAUCGUCCCCUGGUUCAUCAAGCGCACAUCAUUACUGUGUCAAACAAUUGAGUUUCUAUCCAAAACCAGUGCCCCUAUCGUGGUAAACAACAAUACACUCUAACCCUAGAUAGUAGAUUGAUACAACUCAGAUGCUUCAGCUAACUGACCCCUGACAAGGAUCGUCCGCAAAAGAACCCGUCCUACAGAUCACGGAAACGCAGCACAUCGUCGCCAGGGUAAAUCUUGAUCGAAAACUUCGGUUUCUUUGAUUUUUCUUUAUGUGACUAUGUGCUUCGUUUUCGAUGAGGCGGAAUUCCGGCUUCAUGGGCGUCUUCCCAUUGCCGCCCCACGUCAGAUUUCCAUCAUUAAUCACCGGCACCAGAAACCUGGAAGAGGGUAAAACGAGAAGAUCAUCGAACUCACAAGCUCUUAGAGAGAGAGAGAGGGUUUGAUACUCUGCCUGUGCCGUGGCAGGAGGCCGAUGAGGUGGAGACGGCGGUGGAGGAGAGGUGGGAGAGGAGAGGGAGGAGGACGAGUGACAGUUAUUGUUAUCACCGCCCUCUUGCUUAACCCUUCAAUCCAAGAAACCACCGGCAAAGGGAUUGGAGAUAU
This 842-nucleotide long non-coding RNA is filed under the name Musa acuminata (dwarf banana). RNAcentral's name for it is "long non-coding RNA (MACU_LNC003887)". The record is from RNAcentral. Lineage: Eukaryota; Viridiplantae; Streptophyta; Magnoliopsida; Zingiberales; Musaceae.